Molecule: ribosomal RNA, 521 nt
Filed under: uncultured bacterium
Lineage: Bacteria
Description: bacterial SSU rRNA
Rfam family: Archaeal small subunit ribosomal RNA
Source: RNAcentral
AACCUCCGCAAUGUGAGAAAUCGCGACGGGGGGAUCCCAAGUGCCAUUCUUAACGGGAUGGCUUUUCAUUAGUGUAAAGAGCUUUUGGAAUAAGAGCUGGGCAAGACCGGUGCCAGCCGCCGCGGUAACACCGGCAGCUCUAGUGGUAACAAUUUUUAUUGGGCCUAAAGCGUCCGUAGCCGGUUUAAUAAGUCUCUGGUGAAAUCCUGUAGCUUAACUGUGGGAAUUGCUGGAGAUACUAUUAGACUUGAGACCGGGAGAGGUUAGAGGUACUCCCAGGGUAGAGGUGAAAUUCUGUAAUCCUGGGAGGACCGCCUGUUGCGAAGGCGUCUAACUGGAACGGUUCUGACGGUGAGGGACGAAAGUUAGGGGCGCGAGCCGGAUUAGAUACCCGGGUAGUCCUAACUGUAAACGAUGCGGACUUGGUGUUGGGGUGGCUUUGAGCUGCUCCAGUGCCGAAGGGAAGCUGUUAAGUCCGCCGCCUGGGAAGUACGGUCGCAAGACUGAAACUUAAAGGAAUU